GUUGAAAAAUUAGCGGAUGACUUGUGGCUGGGGGUGAAAGGCCAAUCAAACCGGGAGAUAGCUGGUUCUCCCCGAAAGCUAUUUAGGUAGCGCCUCGUGAAUUCAUCUUCGGGGGUAGAGCACUGUUUCGGCUAGGGGGUCAUCCCGACUUACCAACCCGAUGCAAACUACGAAUACCGAAGAAUGUUAUCACGGGAGACACACGGCGGGUGCUAACGUCCGUCGUGAAGAGGGAAACAACCCAGACCGCCAGCUAAGGUCCCAAAGUCAUGGUUAAGUGGGAAACGAUGUGGGAAGGCACAGACAGCCAGGAUGUUGGCUUAGAAGCAGCCAUCAUUUAAAGAAAGCGUAAUAGCUCACUGGUCGAGUCGGCCUGCGCGGAAGAUGUAACGGGGCUAAACCAUGCACCGAAGCUGCGGCAGCGACACUAUGUGUUGUUGGGUAGGGGAGCGUUCUGUAAGCCGUUGAAGGUGGCCUGUGAGGGUUGCUGGAGGUAUCAGAAGUGCGAAUGCUGACAUAAGUAACGAUAAAGCGGGUGAAAAGCCCGCUCGCCGGAAGACCAAGGGUUCCUGUCCAACGUUAAUCGGGGCAGGGUGAGUCGACCCCUAAGGCGAGGCCGAAAGGCGUAGUCGAUGGGAAACAGGUUAAUAUUCCUGUACUUGGUGUUACUGCGAAGGGGGGACGGAGAAGGCUAUGUUAGCCGGGCGACGGUUGUCCCGGUUUAAGCAUGUAGGCUGGUUAUCCAGGCAAAUCCGGAUAAUCAAGGCUGAGGUGUGAUGACGAGGCACUACGGUGCUGAAGUAACAAAUGCCCUGCUUCCAGGAAAAGCCUCUAAGCAUCAGGUAACAUCAAAUCGUACCCCAAACCGACACAGGUGGUCAGGUAGAGAAUACCAAGGCGCUUGAGAGAACUCGGGUGAAGGAACUAGGCAAAAUGGUGCCGUAACUUCGGGAGAAGGCACGCUGAUAUGUAGGUGAAGCGCCUUGCUCGUGGAGCUGAAAUCAGUCGAAGAUACCAGCUGGCUGCAACUGUUUAUUAAAAACACAGCACUGUGCAAACACGAAAGUGGACGUAUACGGUGUGACGCCUGCCCGGUGCCGGAAGGUUAAUUGAUGGGGUUAUCCGUAAGGAGAAGCUCUUGAUCGAAGCCCCGGUAAACGGCGGCCGUAACUAUAACGGUCCUAAGGUAGCGAAAUUCCUUGUCGGGUAAGUUCCGACCUG
This 1221-nucleotide ribosomal RNA is filed under the name human gut metagenome. RNAcentral's name for it is "bacterial LSU rRNA". It matches the Rfam family "Bacterial large subunit ribosomal RNA", at positions 788 to 1990 of the family's 2925-position model. The record is from RNAcentral.